Molecule: ribosomal RNA, 397 nt
Filed under: uncultured bacterium
Lineage: Bacteria
Description: partial 16S ribosomal RNA
Rfam family: Bacterial small subunit ribosomal RNA
Source: RNAcentral
AUACGUAGGUGACAAGCGUUAUCCGGAUUUACUCGGCGUAAAGGGCGUGUAGGCGGUCUUGCAAGUCAGAAGUGAAAUUCCUGAGCUCAACUCGGGCGCUGCUUCUGAAACUGCAGGACUUGAGUGCUGGAGGGGAUAGCGGAAUUCCUAGUGGAGCGGUAAAAUGCGCAGAUAUUAGGAAGAACACCGGUGGCGAAGGCGGCUAUCUGGACAGUAACUGACGCUGAGGCGCGAAAGCGUGGGGAGCAAACAGGAUUAGAUCCCCUGGUAGUCCACGCCGUAAACGAUGAAUACUAGGUGUAGGGGGUAUCGACUCCCUCUGUGCCGCAGUUAACACAAUAAGUAUUCCGCCUGGGGAGUACGGCCGCAAGGUUGAAACUUAAAUGAAUUGACGGGG